RNAcentral lists this long non-coding RNA (181 nucleotides) under Callithrix jacchus (white-tufted-ear marmoset). RNAcentral describes it as "lncRNA (ENSCJAG00000066595.2)". Lineage: Eukaryota; Metazoa; Chordata; Mammalia; Primates; Cebidae. The record is from RNAcentral.
UUUUCUAUGGUUUCUUAAGCACUACAAUGUCAGUAUUAAGCGUCUGCAAUAGUAACAUAUAAACCACAAAGUUUAAAAUAUUUCCUGUCAAGUUACAGAAAGAUGUUGCCAAUCUUGUACUACAGAAUAAACUUCAGACAAACAAGAACUCAUUGGAGAAAUCUUAUCCCAGGGCCAAGUA